ACGGGUGAGUAACGCGUGGGUAACCUACCCUGUACACACGGAUAACAUACCGAAAGGUAUGCUAAUACGGGAUAAUAUAUUUGAGAGGCAUCUCUUAAAUAUCAAAGGUGAGCCAGUACAGGAUGGACCCGCGUCUGAUUAGCUAGUUGGUAAGGUAACGGCUUACCAAGGCGACGAUCAGUAGCCGACCUGAGAGGGUGAUCGGCCACAUUGGAACUGAGACACGGUCCAAACUCCUACGGGAGGCAGCAGUGGGGAAUAUUGCACAAUGGGCGAAAGCCUGAUGCAGCAACGCCGCGUGAGUGAUGAAGGCCUUCGGGUCGUAAAAUUCUGUCCUCAAGGAAGAUAAUGACGGUACUUGAGGAGGAAGCCCCGGCUAACUACGUGCCAGCAGCCGCGGUAAUACGUAGGGGGCUAGCGUUAUCCGGAUUUACUGGGCGUAAAGGGUGCGUAGGCGGUCUUUCAAGUCAGGAGUGAAAGGCUACGGCUCAACCGUAGUAAGCUCUUGAAACUGGGAGACUUGAGUGCAGGAGAGGAGAGUGGAAUUCCUAGUGUAGCGGUGAAAUGCGUAGAUAUUAGGAGGAACACCAGUUGCGAAGGCGGCUCUCUGGACUGUAACUGACGCUGAGGCACGAAAGCGUGGGGAGCAAACAGGAUUAGAUACCCUGGUAGUCCACGCUGUAAACGAUGAGUACUAGGUGUCGGGGGUUACCCCCCUCGGUGCCGCAGCUAACG
Molecule: ribosomal RNA, 735 nt
Filed under: uncultured bacterium
Lineage: Bacteria
Description: bacterial SSU rRNA
Rfam family: Bacterial small subunit ribosomal RNA
Source: RNAcentral